Molecule: signal recognition particle RNA, 296 nt
Filed under: Saimiri boliviensis boliviensis (Bolivian squirrel monkey)
Lineage: Eukaryota; Metazoa; Chordata; Mammalia; Primates; Cebidae
Description: Metazoan signal recognition particle RNA (ENSSBOG00000009929.1)
Rfam family: Metazoan signal recognition particle RNA
About the family: The signal recognition particle (SRP) is a universally conserved ribonucleoprotein.
Source: RNAcentral
GCCAGGCGCGGUGGCGUGUGCCUGUAGUCCCAGCUACUGGGGAGGCUGAAGUGGGAGGAUCGCUUGAGCCUAGCAGUUCUGGGCUGUAAUGUGCUAUGCCAAUCGGGUGUCCGCACUAAGUUCGCAUCAAUAUGGUGACCUCCCGGGAGCGGGGGACCACCAGGUUGCCUAGGGAGGGGUGAACUGACUGAGGUCGGACAAAGCAGGUCAAAACUCCCGUGCUGAUCAGUAGUGAGAUCGCACGUGUGACUAGCCACUACACUCCAGUGUGGGCAACAUAGCAAGACCCCAUCUCU